UACGUAGGGUGCAAGCGUUAAUCGGAAUUACUGGGCGUAAAGCGUGCGCAGGCGGUUGUGCAAGACAGAUGUGAAAUCCCCGGGCUCAACCUGGGAACUGCAUUUGUGACUGCACGGCUAGAGUGUGUCAGAGGGGGGUAGAAUUCCACGUGUAGCAGUGAAAUGCGUAGAGAUGUGGAGGAACACCGAUGGCGAAGGCAGCCCCCUGGGUCAAGAUUGACGCUCAUGCACGAAAGCGUGGGGAGCAAACAGG
This 253-nucleotide ribosomal RNA is filed under the name uncultured bacterium. RNAcentral describes it as "partial 16S ribosomal RNA". It matches the Rfam family "Bacterial small subunit ribosomal RNA", at positions 524 to 776 of the family's 1533-position model. The record is from RNAcentral.